CAUCUGUCAUCCUCUGCACUACACAGUCAUCAUGAACCCUCGGCUCUGUGGACUCCUGGUUCUGGCAUCCUGGAUGAUUGCUGCCCUGAAUUCCUUGUCACAAAGCUUAAUGGUAUUGUGGCUGUCCUUCUGCACAGACUUGGAAAUCCCCCACUUUUUCUGUGAACUUAAUCAGGUCAUCCACCUUGCCUGUUCUGACACCUUUCUUAAUGACAUGGGGAUGUAUUUUGCAGCAGGGCUGCUGGCUGGUGGUCCCCUUGUGGGGAUCCUUUGCUCUUACUCUAAGAUAGUUUCCUCCAUACGUGCAAUCUCAUCAGCUCAGGGGAAGUACAAGGCAUUUUCC
Molecule: long non-coding RNA, 343 nt
Filed under: Homo sapiens (human)
Lineage: Eukaryota; Metazoa; Chordata; Mammalia; Primates; Hominidae
Description: non-protein coding lnc-OR7A10-2:1
Source: RNAcentral